UUUGAGAGAAGGGAUGACACAGUAGGAUAAGCUAAGCACACUGUUGGUUAUGUGUGCCCAAGCAUUGAGGCAGUCAAAGUAGGCAAAUCCGCUUUGAUAAUGCUGGGAUGUGAUGGGGAGCGAAAUUUAGUAGCGAAGUAGCUGAUUUCACACUGUCAAGAAAAGUCUCUAUCGAGGUUAAAGGUACCCGUACCGCAAACCGACACAGGUGGGUGAGGAGAGUAUCCUAAGGCCAGCGAGAGAACUGUUGUUAAGGAACUCGGCAAAAUGACCCCGUAACUUAGGGAUAAGGGGUGCCACCAUCAGGUGGCCGCAGAGAAUAGGCCCAAGCGACUGUUUACCAAAAACAUAGGUUUCUGCUAAGUCGCAAGACGAUGUAUAGGAGCUGACGCCUGCCCGGUGCUGGAAGGUUAAGGGGAUCUGUUAGAGCAAUCGAAGCAGUGAACUUAAGCCCCAGUAAACGGCGGCCGUAACUAUAACGGUCCUAAGGUAGCGAAAUUCCUUGUCGGGUAAGUUCCGACCCGCACGAAAGGCGUAACGAUUUGGGCACUGUCUCAACAACAGACUCGGUGAAAUUGUAAUUCCGGUGAAGAUGCCGGAUACCUGCGACAGGACGGAAAGACCCCAUGGAGCUUUACUGUAGCUUGACAUUGGGUCUUGGUACUACAUGUACAGGAUAGGUGGGAGGCUUUGAAACCAGGACGCCAGUUUUGGCGGAGCCAUCCUUGGGAUACCACCCUUGUAGUACUGGGACUCUAACCAUAG
This 765-nucleotide ribosomal RNA is filed under the name Clostridioides difficile. RNAcentral's name for it is "partial 23S ribosomal RNA". It matches the Rfam family "Bacterial large subunit ribosomal RNA", at positions 1456 to 2231 of the family's 2925-position model. The record is from RNAcentral. Lineage: Bacteria; Bacillati; Bacillota; Clostridia; Peptostreptococcales; Peptostreptococcaceae.